UAAUGAAAUUAGAAUCUUGAUUAUCGUUAUUGCAUUAAUGUUAAUGUGGUGAAGGUGAUGGUAGCAUAUCUCAAAGAAACAACAGACAAUGAAAUUUGGACCGUAUACACCAAGGAAAAGAUAAGGGUAUCAUGUUCCAUGGUUCUAAUUUGAUGGGACUCAGAAAAGAGAAUUGCAUUUGUCUUUGAAAAAAUGCUGUUUAUUACCAGCUGGAAUGCAUGCAACAAUCAUUAGGUUCACAUACUUGACAUAGAAACCAGUACAGAAAGGAAACACUAAACUGACUCAAAGAAUCCUAUGAGUAGAGACCAGCUCAACCACAGGAAAGAAACUAGGAAGGAGAAACAACAGAUGAGUGAUGAUGGAAGAAAUGAGGCAGCGGUGGUCUCCAGUGACCUUAAUUAGUACCACCAAGAACAGCCUUAAGCUUCUUCACCACAGCUGCGUCAAGGAAAGUGGUCUGCACCACCAGUUCAGUUGGCAAAUCGUUUGCAAACAGAGCGUAAUCAAGGAUCUGGAGACCAGGCUGUGGGCUGCUGAAGCUAACAAAGGCGGUGGAUGGUAUCCCAGCCCCAUUCACUUGAAAAUGCAGUAGUCCUUGAGGAAAAAUCAUAAUGUCACCCUUCUUAAGAGUUUUGAAGUAGACGGUAUUGGCUGAGGAAAUGAACCCAGCACAGAUUGCCCCCUGCGUAACAAGCAGGACUUCUGAACCUCCAGGGUGUGUGUGCAUUGGCACAACCCCUCCUACAGCCAGGUCCAGGCGUGCUAUGGACAAGCCAAGACCGUUCAAGCCAGGAAACUGAGGAGCAAAAGCCGGAGUCACAGCAGCUUUGAUAAGAUUUGAGGUGUUCCCUGCCAUGCCUAGGCCGGAGAAAACAAAAUCAUCAACAGUAACCUUUGCAGGCUUCUUGCAAGAGUAGCCUGCAGGCCCCUCUGGGGCUGCAAGGUCCCCGACGCAGAAGUCCUGCACUGCAG
RNAcentral lists this long non-coding RNA (975 nucleotides) under Vitis vinifera (wine grape). RNAcentral describes it as "long non-coding RNA (VVIN_LNC003368)". Lineage: Eukaryota; Viridiplantae; Streptophyta; Magnoliopsida; Vitales; Vitaceae. The record is from RNAcentral.